This 1136-nucleotide long non-coding RNA is filed under the name Prunus persica (peach). RNAcentral describes it as "long non-coding RNA (PPER_LNC004718)". The record is from RNAcentral. Lineage: Eukaryota; Viridiplantae; Streptophyta; Magnoliopsida; Rosales; Rosaceae.
UUCAAUAUUUUUUUAGUUCGUAAAUUAAAAUUUUUAUUUCAAUCGUCCUUCAACUCUUCAUUUGAUAUCAAAACGGUCCUACCAUCCAAUUUUCCGUUCAAUUGAAUCAUGGGGAGGGCACCUGCUCCAAUUUUAGGGACAAAUUGGACUUUUUACCCCAAAAAAAAAAAAAGUACAAUUUAUAAAUUUAAAACAAACAUUAAAAAAAAAACCACAAAUUUUAAAAAGUAUUAACACAGUUACCCUCACAACCCCAUCCCUUAGGGGUGGUUGCGGUUCGGUAACUGCGAAUUUUUGCCCAAACCGCAAACCGACCGACUACUUGCGGUAUGAUGAUUUUUGAAACCGCAAAAAGCGGUCGGUUACCGUGAAUUAGCGGUUAAAAACUGCAAGUUCUUUUUGUGUCAUAAAAAUCCAAUCUUCCACAUUUUAGGCCUAGUUUUGAAGCCUUUUGAGUUCAAGCAUACUUUAACCCAAAAAUAUAAAUUUACAACCUAAAGAAAUAAAUUCACAGCCUCAACUUCUCAAGCAUAUAUAAAUUCACAACCUCCUCAACUUCUCAAGCAUUCACAACCUAAAGAAAAUUAAAGUUACAAUUCCAUGCAUUCCAAUUAAAGUUAAACUUCUCAAGCAUUCACAACCUCAACUUCUCAAGCAUUCCAAUUCCAAAUCCUUUAAAGUUACAAACCAAAAGGAAAAUGCAACGCAAAAUGAAUUAAAGUUACAACUCAAAGGAAAAAUCCAAUUCAAAGUUAAUUAAAGUUACAAACUAAAAGGAAAAUGCAAUGCACCAAUGUUACAAACUCAAGUGUUGGUGGUGGUGAGUGGAUUUGAAGGACCCUGUUGUGUUGUUUGAGCACCAAUGCUAUCUACAAAUAAAACAACAUAAGUUUAGUACAUUUUAUUAUAAGAAGAAGCAUAAAUAAACUAAUUACUUACAAGAUAAGUGGUCUUGUUAUACAACGGCUACGAUUAAACAAUAAAAUGCAAUUUUUAUUUAUUUUUAAAUAUAGUCGCGGUUUGCGGUAACCACAAGUUGUGAAAAUCAAAUACUACAAAUGCGGUUUGGUUCUUCAUACCGCAAAUGCAGUUCGGUUUCCCGUGAUUGCAAUUCCAUUGCGGUUAAAUGUCGGUUG